UGGGAAACUGGGGAUAAUACUGGAUAGGCAAUUUUUCCUGUAAUGGUUUUUUGUUUAAAUGUUUUUUCGCCUAAGGAUGGGUCUGCGGCCGAUUAGGUAGUUGGUUAGGUAAUGGCUUACCAAGCCGUUGAUCGGUACGGGUUGUGAGAGCAAGAGCCCGGAGAUGGAACCUGAGACAAGGUUCCAGGCCCUACGGGGUGCAGCAGGCGCGAAACCUCCGCAAUGUGAGAAAUCGCGACGGGGGGAUCCCAAGUGCCAUUCUUAACGGGAUGGCUUUUCAUUAGUGUAAAGAGCUUUUGGAAUAAGGGCUGGGCAAGACCGGUGCCAGCCGCCGCGGUAACACCGGCAGCUCUAGUGGUAGCAGUUUUUAUUGGGCCUAAAGCGUCCGUAGCCGGUUUAAUAAGUCUCUGGUGAAAUCCUGUAGCUUAACUGUGGGAAUUGCUGGAGAUACUAUUAGACUUGAGACCGGGAGAGGUUAGAGGUACUCCCAGGGUAGAGGUGAAAUUCUGUAAUCCUGGGAGGACCGCCUGUUGCGAAGGCGUCUAACUGGAACGGUUCUGACGGUGAGGGACGAAAGUUAGGGGCGCGAACCGGAUUAGAUACCCGGGUAGUCCUAACUGUAAACGAUGCGGACUUGGUGUUGGGGUGGCUUUGAGCUGCUCCAGUGCCGAAGGGAAGCUGUUAAGUCCGCCGCCUGGGAAGUACGGUCGCAAGACUGAAACUUAA
Molecule: ribosomal RNA, 726 nt
Filed under: uncultured archaeon
Lineage: Archaea
Description: bacterial SSU rRNA
Rfam family: Archaeal small subunit ribosomal RNA
Source: RNAcentral